RNAcentral lists this ribosomal RNA (253 nucleotides) under uncultured bacterium. RNAcentral describes it as "partial 16S ribosomal RNA". It matches the Rfam family "Bacterial small subunit ribosomal RNA", at positions 524 to 776 of the family's 1533-position model. The record is from RNAcentral.
UACGAAGGGGGCGAGCGUUGUUCGGAAUUACUGGGCGUAAAGGGCGCGUAGGCGGCCGAGCAAGUUAGAUGUGAAAGUCCUGGGCUUAACCUGGGGACUGCAUUUGAUACUGCUUGGCUUGAAUUCGGGAGAGGAUAGCGGAAUUCCCAGUGUAGAGGUGAAAUUCGUAGAUAUCUGGAGGAACACCGGUGGCGAAGGCGGCAUCCUGGACCGACACUGACGCUGAGGAGCGAAAGCCAGGGGAGCAAACGGG